RNAcentral lists this ribosomal RNA (461 nucleotides) under uncultured bacterium. RNAcentral's name for it is "partial 16S ribosomal RNA". It matches the Rfam family "Bacterial small subunit ribosomal RNA", at positions 338 to 795 of the family's 1533-position model. The record is from RNAcentral.
CCUACGGGAUGCAGCAGUGAGGAAUAUUGGUCAAUGGGCGCAAGCCUGAACCAGCCAAGUCGCGUGAGGGAUGACGGUCCUAUGGAUUGUAAACCUCUUUUGUCGGGGAGCAAGGCCCGCCACGUGUGGCGGGAAGGAGAGUACCCGAAGAAAAAGCAUCGGCUAACUCCGUGCCAGCAGCCGCGGUAAUACGGAGGAUGCGAGCGUUAUCCGGAUUUAUUGGGUUUAAAGGGAGCGUAGGUGGAUUGUUAAGUCAGUUGUGAAAGUUUGCGGCUCAACCGUAAAAUUGCAGUUGAAACUGGCGCUCUUGAGUGGAAGAGAAGUAUGCGGAAUGCGUGGUGUAGCGGUGAAAUGCAUAGAUAUCACGCAGAACCCCGAUUGCGAAGGCAGCAUGCCGGCUUCCGACUGACGCUGAAGCACGAAAGCGUGGGGAUCGAACAGGAUUAGAUACCCUUGUAGUC